GAGAGUUUGAUUCUGGCUCAGGACGAACGCCGGCGGCGUGCCUAACACAUGCAAGUCGAGCGAGGAGAUUCCCUUCGGGGAUGAACCUAGCGGCGGACGGGUGAGUAACACGUGGGCAACCUGCCUUAUAGAGGGGAAUAGCCUUCCGAAAGGAAGAUUAAUACCGCAUAACAUUACAUUUUCGCAUGAAGAAGUAAUUAAAGGAGUAAUCCGCUAUAAGAUGGGCCCGCGGCGCAUUAGCUAGUUGGUGAGGUAACGGCUCACCAAGGCGACGAUGCGUAGCCGACCUGAGAGGGUGAUCGGCCACAUUGGGACUGAGACACGGCCCAGACUCCUACGGGAGGCAGCAGUGGGGAAUAUUGCACAAUGGGGGAAACCCUGAUGCAGCAACGCCGCGUGAGUGAUGAAGGUCUUCGGAUCGUAAAGCUCUGUCUUCAGGGACGAUAAUGACGGUACCUGAGGAGGAAGCCACGGCUAACUA
RNAcentral lists this ribosomal RNA (481 nucleotides) under swine fecal bacterium FPC48. RNAcentral describes it as "bacterial SSU rRNA". It matches the Rfam family "Bacterial small subunit ribosomal RNA", at positions 7 to 503 of the family's 1533-position model. The record is from RNAcentral.